GACCGCUCCGGUGGACUAGUGGUGAGAGCAUCCACCUUAGAUGCGGGAGGUCGUGGGUUCUAUCCCCGGCCGAGUCA
Non-coding RNA from Potamilus streckersoni, 77 nucleotides. NCBI's taxonomy places the organism in Eukaryota, Metazoa, Mollusca, Bivalvia, Unionida, Unionidae. The record is from the annotation of a GenBank genome assembly.